UACGUAGGGUGCAAGCGUUGUCCGGAAUUAUUGGGCGUAAAGAGCGUGUAGGCGGCUUGGUAGGUCCGCUGUGAAAACUCGAGGCUCAACCUCGAGAUGUCGGCGGAAACCACUUGGCUAGAGUCCGGAAGAGGAGAGUGGAAUUCCCGGUGUAGCGGUGAAAUGCGCAGAUAUCGGGAAGAACACCUAUGGCGAAGGCAGCUCGCUGGGACGUUACUGACACUGAGGCGCGAAAGCGUGGGGAGCGAACAGG
This 253-nucleotide ribosomal RNA is filed under the name uncultured bacterium. RNAcentral describes it as "partial 16S ribosomal RNA". It matches the Rfam family "Bacterial small subunit ribosomal RNA", at positions 524 to 776 of the family's 1533-position model. The record is from RNAcentral.